UACGUAGGGUGCGAGCGUUAAUCGGAAUUACUGGGCGUAAAGCGUGCGUAGGCGGUCCGCGAAGUCUGAUGUGAAAGCCCCGGGCUCAACCUGGGAACUGCAUUGGAAACUAACGGGCUCGAGUGUGGCAGAGGGGGGUGGAAUUCCACGUGUAGCAGUGAAAUGCGUAGAGAUGUGGAGGAACACCGAUGGCGAAGGCAGCCCCCUGGGCUAACACUGACGCUCGGGCACGAAAGCGUGGGGAGCAAACAGG
RNAcentral lists this ribosomal RNA (253 nucleotides) under uncultured bacterium. RNAcentral's name for it is "partial 16S ribosomal RNA". It matches the Rfam family "Bacterial small subunit ribosomal RNA", at positions 524 to 776 of the family's 1533-position model. The record is from RNAcentral.